AGGGAAAAGCUCAAAUUUAAAAUCUGGUAGUCUUUGGCUGCCCGAGUUGUAAUUUAGAGAAGUGUUGCCCGCGUUGGACCGUGUACAAGUCUCCUGGAAUGGAGCGUCAUAGAGGGUGAGAAUCCCGUCUUUGACACGGACUACCAGUGCAUUGUGGUGCGCUCUCGAA
This 169-nucleotide ribosomal RNA is filed under the name Chaetocalathus sp. RNAcentral's name for it is "partial large subunit ribosomal RNA". It matches the Rfam family "Eukaryotic large subunit ribosomal RNA", at positions 99 to 261 of the family's 3401-position model. Lineage: Eukaryota; Fungi; Basidiomycota; Agaricomycetes; Agaricales; Marasmiaceae. The record is from RNAcentral.